UACGUAGGUGGCAAGCGUUGUCCGGAUUUACUGGGUGUAAAGGGAGCGUAGACGGCAGAGCAAGUCUGAAGUGAAAGCCCGCGGCCCAACUGCGGGACUGCUUUGGAAACUGCCCGGCUAGAGUGCUGGAGAGGUAAGCGGAAUUCCUAGUGUAGCGGUGAAAUGCGUAGAUAUUAGGAGGAACGCCAGUGGCGAAGGCGGCUUACUGGACAGUAACUGACGUUGAGGCUCGAAAGCGUGGGGAGCAAACAGG
Molecule: ribosomal RNA, 253 nt
Filed under: uncultured bacterium
Lineage: Bacteria
Description: partial 16S ribosomal RNA
Rfam family: Bacterial small subunit ribosomal RNA
Source: RNAcentral